CCUACGGGGGGCAGCAGUAGGGAAUCUUCCACAAUGGACGAAAGUCUGAUGGUGCAACGCCGCGUGAGUGAAGAAGGGUUUCGGCUCGUAAAGCCCUGGUGGUAGUGAAGAAAGAUAGAGGUAUUAACUGGCCUUUAUUUGACGGUAAUUACUUAGAAAGUCACGGCUAACUAUGUGCCAGCAGCCGCGGUAAUUCGUAGGUGGCAAGCGUUGUCCGGAUUUAUUGGGCGUAAAGCGAGUGCUGGCGGUUCAAUAAGUCUGAUGUGAAAGCCUUCGGCUCAACCGGAGAAUUGAAUCAGACACUGUGUAACUUGAGUGCAGAAGAGGAGAGUGGAACUCCAGGUGUAGCAGUGGAAUGCGUAGAUAUAUGGAAGAACACCAGUGGCGAAGGCGGCUCUCUGGUCUGCAACUGACGCUGAGGCUCGAAAGCAUGGGUAGCGAACAGGAUUAGAUACCCUAGUAGUC
RNAcentral lists this ribosomal RNA (465 nucleotides) under uncultured bacterium. RNAcentral's name for it is "partial 16S ribosomal RNA". It matches the Rfam family "Bacterial small subunit ribosomal RNA", at positions 338 to 795 of the family's 1533-position model. The record is from RNAcentral.